Long non-coding RNA from Haliotis rubra (blacklip abalone), 1464 nucleotides. RefSeq lists it as uncharacterized. The record is from RefSeq and is a predicted model, not a curated record. Lineage: Eukaryota; Metazoa; Mollusca; Gastropoda; Lepetellida; Haliotidae. The transcript has 3 exons.
CACGGCGACAACGCGUGGUCUUCUAUUAUUAGAAACAAAACAUCCAUUGGUAAAUGAGAGAGAGGUAAAGGAAGAAACAUCUCUGAGAAGAUCGAAGGUAUAUAUCUGUCGGCUAGAAGCAGGUUUGGCAAAGCAGUAAGUGAUCUGAAUCACCAUGAUCCCAGUUCAAGACGAGUGUUGUGAAGAGAAAGGGGAGAUCACUGAGUAUUCCAGGAAGCGGGAUGGAAGCCCCAAACCACAGAGUGAUGGUCCAGUGUUAAAACAGCGCAAGGUGAAGGAGGAAGAUUCAAAUCCAAUGACCUCUCACCUUAAUGCAUCAUGGGGUCCGUUGUUUAAGAACCGCCAACAUUUUGUGGAUUUGCAUGUCUGUUAACACUCAAGUCCAUGAUCAACAUUCAUCGUCAUAUAAUUCUCAGCUGUUAGCUUGUGUGAUGCAACACAUUUCCAUCUUGUAUCGCCCGUCAUCUACACUCUCCAAGUUCUUCUCAACCAAGUAUGUUUUAUUCAAAGACUGUCACAGGAACGUGAUGUCCUCUCAGACACCGUAUACUUUUCAAAAGGUUGUGAUAUUCUGAAGUGUAUAAACUGUUCAGAUUGAUUCAAAUCCAGCUCACUAUGAUGGCGAUGAAGCUGUGGAAAGAUGCCAUGCUGCAGUUGUGUCUACUCAGACUUAUUUUUGUGAUGAUCCACAUGCAGCGAGGUUUCUUCAUACCAGACUUUCAGAAAAGAGGGACUUUGGCCAGUUUCUGAGAUCAUCAUGCCUGUUUACAUAACCACUUCUUGAUCACUACACUGUUCUCAUCAUUGUACAUAUCCAUUCUAAACAGCAACUUCAUUUCAUUGUGUACGUAUCCUAUGGAUACUGUAGAUAUGAUGUAUAUAUCAUUUGAUUUGUCACUUACAGUUAAUAAUUUGGUGGACUGGCAUUCAUGUUUUGGCUGAGAUUAUUUCAGAUAAAAACACUUUGUCUUUUGUUGCCAAUGUUUCUGAAUGUAGGGUGUUAAUGUAUGGAUAGUCUUUAAAUACACAUUUAGUCUAAGGGAGAGAACUUGGAAGGCCUAAGGGAGACAACUGGUAGGCCUACCUGUGAUGGAUGAAUGUUAGUUUCUAAAUUUUACUUGUUGUUUGAAGACAAACACCUAGAGCCUACCUCAUUUGGUAAAAAUGUGCAUAGAGUUUGGUCAUUGUGUAUUGCAGUCUUGUACACAACAGUAAAAUGUACAGUUUUACGUGCUAGAAGAUUUUAUGGUUGCUUCAAGUACUUCUGACAUUAACUGAUAGCAAGAAAUAAGAAUGGCUGUGUCCUUGGGUAUGAUUCUUAUGUAGAAUGUUCAAGGAGAAUUGCCAGUGUAGUGAAUAACUUUCUAUCCAGUGCCAUAUUUUCAUAAUAGGUAUGUUAAACUAUACAUUUACAUGUUUUAGGUUAAUAUUUACAUGGUUUAAAUAAACAUUAUCAGAUAAUGA